RNAcentral lists this long non-coding RNA (5333 nucleotides) under Sus scrofa (pig). RNAcentral describes it as "lncRNA (ENSSSCG00030024868.1)". Lineage: Eukaryota; Metazoa; Chordata; Mammalia; Artiodactyla; Suidae. The record is from RNAcentral.
CCAAUGGGCUGAGUUUUUCCAGCGGCUGACUGAGCACGUCCGUCGCCCGAGGACGCCGCCCGGCCGUGGGGACAGGGGCAGGCGUGCCGCAUUGUCUGCCGUGCCACGGGGACGUGGUGAAGUGGCAGCCUCCGGGCUGGACGGUGUUCUCCCUUUGAGGCUGCAGAGCUUUUAUUAGUCAGGCGGAAUCAGAAAGAGGAAAAGACUGGUUUCUAGCUUUCUUGUGCAUAUAAGGUAUCCUUGCAACUAAGCCCGUAACCAUUGACUUGAACUGCACAGCAGCCCCCAGACCUAACAACGCCCACCCCGUCUUGGGGGCUGUGUCUCUGGACGCUUCCUUCCUCAGGGGGUCAGGCGUCAAAGCUGGCGUUGAGGGGAGCGUGCUGGGGUCUCUUUCCCACGGCUCCUGGGGGCGGGGGUGGGGGGGGCAGAAGGGAAGUAGAAGAGCGUCCUGUCUGCUCUCGACACAGCAGGUCCACGGGCUUCUGCGGCGCAAAGAAGCGAUGAGCCGAGCCUGCUGUCCCCCUCCGUUGCCUGCCUUGGCCGCCCAGGUGGCUGCGGCAUCUCUGGCUUUUCACAGGGAAACACGGCUGCCGUCGGGCAGCCUUGGCAGGCGUCUGAGGGGCGAGCAGGCUGCGGGGUCCCGGCGGCCGGCCCCGCUCCGGACGGCACCUCUCAGCAGCGCGUUCCACGCUGUUGUCGUGCCUUUGUGCGUCAGGGACGCAGGGAGGAAGCGCUUCCUAAGCAGCCAGACCCUGAGAUCUCGCCUGUCCUCGCGCCAUCCGGCCCCGUCUGUCACUUGCUGCGCGUUUCUCUGCCGAGAAGCGGGGUUCGCUGGCGGUCGUUUGAGCGCGUGUCCCCUGCAGUCUGUGCUAACCUGCUGCGUCUGAUGGCCCGCGAGUGACAGGUUUGCCAGAGAAACGGCGCAGUGCUGACGCAGCCGUCUCAGGCAGCCUUUUCACCGAGCUUGAGGCGAAGCGUUCAGGCAGGUUGCGAAAAGCCGCGAUGGACGGCUUCCCCUAAGCGUUGGUUUGUUCAGCGGUAACGCGCGUGUCCUUCCCACGGCCCUGCUGCCAAGAGGGUCAGCUGGCCCUCGAGGGUCUCCCCACGUCUGCGACCCUGCCGCCCGUCCUUGCUCCGUAAGAAGGGCGGGUCCGUCCCGUCCAGUGGAGCAGCACGCGCCGGAGCCGGAGCGCCCUCCGGGUCACGGCAGCCCUGAGUUGGGGCCGUUUCGGUGGAGGCGAGGCUGGUGCUUCCUGCCACGAGCCCUUCUCACGUACAGUGAAUUCCGAUGACCGCGGUAGCUCUUCCUUCUCGGGCCUCCCAGCCAGCACGUGAGAGCAUUUAGAAACCUCCCUCCCUACAAGCCACGUUCCGAGGGCGUGUUAUUUACGAGAGCUGGUGCCGGGUUGUGGCCCAGGGACCGUUCCUUUUGAAGAGCAAGGAGGCCUGACUGCGAAAGCUUCCAGUUCUGUCUCUGGAGCUGGACGGGCGAGGGAUAAAGACGGGUUUUCCGGAGUUCAGCUUAAGUGAGGUUGAGGCAUUGAGCCCCUCCACCUUACCCAGGCAAAGUGAAAACUGUGACCGUGCAGAGUCAUUUUGAAUCCGCUCCGACAUCCUAAACAGGUUAAAUGUUCCUGAGAAACAAACCCUGGGCGUAAGGCGUCUGUCGGACGGACCGGGACCUUUCAGCAUCCCACCUGCCUUGUGGCUCCAUGCACUGCAGCGUCGCUUUUCUGCGGGUGGAGCUUGGCCCCCCGUUGACACGGGAAGGCCUUGCUGUUGGGAGGACGGCGGUUUCCCGGGUGCUAAAGGGCCGUCUUGGCGGUGAUGGAGCCCUUGGCUAGAUGUCAUGGUGCCCUUUUAGGACUUAAGGCGGGAUUUCAGAAAGGUUAGCUGCUCUCCGUGGGUUUGUGUUUUGCUUGUUGUUCGUGGUCAGCGUUUCCGCCUUCUCUGCAGUCCCGGGAGUGUCACAGUCACAUCAGAGCGUCCUGGUUGUCAUUCAUGUGCCAUCCCUCCUGUCCCGUCCCCCCCGCCCCCCCCCGAGCAGGCGGGUGCCCACAUCUGAGGCCGUCUGGCAGAGUGACGAGCAGGUGUUAGGAUGAUCCCAUGAUGUAGCAAAUACUGUCGCAGCCAAGACAGAAAGAAAAGGCCAAAGACUUUGGAAAGGCUCUUAGAAGGAGAGUGACUUGGUUUGACCUUUCCCUGACAUUUCUGUCCGUCCCUGGUGUAAACUGUUCUGGAGCCGUACGCAGUCGGCAGGUUCCUGGCUUGUUCUUCUACCCAGACAAGUGCAUACGGGAUUCUGCUUUGGAAAGCUGUUUGUAGGACUUUCGAAGAUUUCCCAAUUUAAACCUCACCUCUGCUUGGUUUGACGUCUGCCUGUACUUACCUGUUAAGAUGUUUUAACUGCUGGUGUUUAAAGGAAUCAAACAGGAGGCCAGAGCCUAAGGCACCCGCGACACCCAUGUCUCCGCCCGUUUUCUUGCUCAAGGAUGUAGACUGGGUUCAACACGGGAUGGUGUACACGCGUGAUGGGUACAGAGACCUCUUGCCCGCGCUGAACUGGCGUCUAAGUGCAGCACGUUCUCAGCACUUGCUGAUAAUGCACAAAACAGUGGCCACGCUGCUGGUGUGAUUGGAAUGGAAGUGCACUCGUGACGGGUAAAGCUCGGAGAAGCAGCGGCGCGGGAUGCGCCUGGGGCUGAGGCGGCGAAGGCUGAGGUUCCGAGGCCGUGCAAAGACCCUCUCCGAGCCACGGAGGGGGAGCAGAGAGGGACCCAGCUGAAUGGGGUCCAGCCGCUGGUCGGCCCCACACCUCAGUUUGAGAGCAAGGUCCCAACUGGAUUCUGAUUCUAGAAGAGGGGGUGCAGGUUGACCAGAGCUGGAAGAGGCGGGGCGCACUGGUACCCAAGGCUGGUGCCGAAGCCGAAGACCCCCCACCUUUUCCGGAGCCCUAGACAGUGACUCUAGCCCCUGACGGUGGUAGGGCUGGCAGGUGUCUAGCUGGCUUUUUUUUCUUUUCUUUUCUUCCCUAAGGAGUGAAGGAAAAGGAGAUUUGGCACCGUCUGUCUUGGCUCUUAAGCAUUAGGAGACACCGAAGCCAGGCUUUGUUGGCAGAUUUACAGCCUGAGCUUGAACCUGGCAGGGUCUGCGGUGAGGUCCUGGGGCUUUUCUCACGGGGUGGCCGCGUUUGAACAGGAAUGGUGAUGCUCUCAGCUGGCGUGGCUGUCCUGGCGCAGCAGAGGCGAGUCUGACUCGUAUCCAUGCGGGGUAUCAGCCGAGUAGCGUGUCUCAGAAGCACAGUGCCUGGGCGAGAGCCCCGGUCUGGGUAGGAAAGGGAGAGAAGGCCGUCGUGCGUCCCGGGGGCGUCACGGGAGCCUGGACGUCGGCAGGAUGAAUGCAGCGGGCUCCGUGGUCCUCGUCGGCGUCCUCCGUCACUUGCUUUCCUCUCCGUCUUGCUGUGCACGAGCCGUGCCUUCAAUGUGCCGACACCUGCUGGGGACCGGCGCGGCCGUCUAGGGCCUGGCCGGGUGCCGGGCCUGCAGCGCUAAAGCCAGCAGGUGGGCCGAGGGUCGCCCUGCUCGUAACGCCCGCGGGCACGUGGAGCUCCUUUCGGGAGGGGCUGAGCUGAGCCUGGGUGGAGGUCUGAGAGGGAGGCAGGCCGCUGAGGCCCAGCGGCAGGCACGGGUGCCCUGGUCCGGGUCUGCUCAGGGAGGGCUCGCAGGCGGCGGGAUGAGAGCCCGAGCCGUGGGACUCGGACUUGGCUUAAUUUUUCUGUUCUUUAGUGCUUCAUUUUUUUUUCUUCUCCUGUUUGAUCCGUUCUCAUGAUGCCUUAUUUGAAACUGGGCUUUAAGAACUGCAAAAAGGGAGCAAACUGGAUCUAGAAAGCUUUAAAGCUCUGAAUGCACUUGCCUUUUUUUUUUGUAUAAGAAUUUUAGAUAAUCAUGAAUCAUUCCUUUGAGUGCUAAGAACGAAAAGGAAAAUUAUAAUGCAGUAGGCCAAAAUAAUAGGCCAGCUGAUUUGGUUAGCAUCGCUAUUACUAAGGUAAAAGACGGAGUUCCCGUCGUGGCUCAGUGGUAACGAACCCGACUAGUAUCCAUGAGGACGUGGGUUCGAUCCCUGGGUUAAGGAUCCGGCGUUGCCGUGAGCCGUAGUGUAGGUCGGAGACCUGGCUCGGAUCUGGCGUUGUUGUGGUUGUAGGCCGGCAGCUGCAGCUCUGAUUCGAACGCUGGCCCGGGAACUUCCUGCAGCAAAAGUGAAAUAGUGCUGAAAUACUAUAAGUAUACAAUUUUAGUGUUUUUUUUUUUUUUUUUUAAUGUUAGUUACUUUAGAAAUGGAGAAUUUAGACAUAGGAGUAGGCAAAUUAUUUUUAUAAGAUCAUUUUUAUCCUGACAAGGACAAUUUUUUAAAGUGUUUGGCACCUGAAAAUAAAUCGUUAGGAGAAUUAGAGAAGCACAUAUCAAAUGGUGGUUUUUUUUCGGUGUGUGUUUUAGUCUUUUCUUGGCGUUGUGAGACAGGAGGGAGGCGUGUGGAUGGAGAGAGCUGGCCAAGGAAGGGCACUGAUGCCUUCCUGGAGAUGCCCUGCUGUACAUCUGCUCUGGAAUCUGUAUAACUUUCUUGGACUUGAAUUAUGGCUCUGAAAUUGGCUGAAGAAUUACGAUCGUAUUAAAAAUACCAAUAGGAGAAUUUCUAACGGAGGGCUUUUUACUUGGCAAACGAACAGCUGGCUUCAGCCAGAGAGGAUUUUUAGCAGCAAUUUUAAGAAGCUCCUUUUAGGGAGGUUCUCCGACGCCACCUCUCCGGUCCGUAAAGUAAUGAGUCGCUUGGAAUGAAACCCUCUUGCCUUGUCAGCUCACAUCCGUUGGAAGUUCCUGGUUGAGUUCUGACACUGCCAUGAUUUGUCAAAAAUUAGUGUGCACGAAUCAGUGUGUAUAAAACUUCCUUUUUGGGUCUCCUUUGCCGUUUCUCAUAUAAGCCCAGGCGAUACCAGCGUGACAGGUGAAGGAACCUAAAAUCCCAGCCUAAGGACACUGCCUUUCUUCGUAGUUAUUCAAGGCUGAUGACUUUGUGGAAUUUGUCUUAUACCACGUAUGUCUUUUUUAAUUAAAGAAAGUGCCUUGAUGCAAUUCCGCUGAAAUCGCGUCUGGCCCCCUGUGGAGUGAGGGUGGGUUCCGGACGGAUUUUGCAGCCUCCGUUGCAGGAGAGGGGAGUCAGUCAGAGGCAGGCCCUGUUCUUCUGAUCUCUGUUGGUGAUGUUUAUCUCAUAAGAUCCUGUAUGUAUUGAGAUUCAGAGAUGUCAUUUCAUUUGUCUGCUAAUAAAUUGUUGCGUUC